This 74-nucleotide transfer RNA is filed under the name Jakoba bahamiensis. Its description in RNAcentral is "tRNA-Lys". It matches the Rfam family "tRNA". Rfam says of the family: Transfer RNA (tRNA) molecules are approximately 80 nucleotides in length. The record is from RNAcentral. Lineage: Eukaryota; Jakobea; Jakobida; Jakobidae.
GGGUAUGUAGCUCAGUUGGUUAGAGCACUGGUCUUUUAAACCAUAGGUCUUGAGUUCGAGUCUCAACAUACCUA